This 3029-nucleotide long non-coding RNA is filed under the name Sus scrofa (pig). Its description in RNAcentral is "lncRNA (ENSSSCG00035063533.1)". The record is from RNAcentral. Lineage: Eukaryota; Metazoa; Chordata; Mammalia; Artiodactyla; Suidae.
CUUUCGUAGGUGAGAGAAUCUAGCUCCUGACUGUGAAGAGGUGUAAAAUGGAACAAUACCUGUGAUGCUUAGUGACUAGAAUGCUGCAUUGGUAAGCCAUAGAGCUACUAAUUCUGUUAAUUAUUAAGUACCUACUAAACACUUUACAUGUUUUGACUCUUUGAAUCCUCAGAAUUAUGAAGUAGUUAGUAUUAUAUCCACAAUUUAUAGCUGAAGAAACUGCGGUCCAGAGACCUUAAGUAUUUUGUCCAAAGUCACACAGCUACUAAAUGGAAAAGUUGGGAUUUAAACCCAGGCAGUCUGGCACUAGUAAAUUCUUAAACAUUAUGCAUACUGCUCUUUCAGUUCUUUGUAUUCUGUACUUAUUUAAUAACAAAUACUUAAUGAUGCACUUCAAAUAUGCCAGGCACUCAACUAAGAGCUUGAAAUACUAGAAAACCAAGGCACAGAGAGACUGAGUAACCUGCAAAAGAUAUGAAGCCACUAAAUGGGAGAGCCUGGAUCGAUCUGACUCAAGUGAGUCUGGUUCUGGAGAGUCCAUGCUCUGCACUGCCUCCUGUGUGUUUUCUUCCAUUGUCUCUUAGUACUCCAUAGUCUCUUGUUAAAGAGUUAGCCUAUCCCAGGGAGACUUUAAAAUGGUUGUUUUGGGCUAAAGCACUAGAAAAGGUGUUAUCUGGGUUUGAGGGUAAGGUGUGGAGCAUGACCAGGGGAGGGCAGAACGGUCAUCAUCUGCACUAGCUAAUCUAAGGGAAAAGCAAAACCAACAGAGGAGAACAGCUGGUCAGUGUCCCUCCCUGGACAAAAGUUCUCCUUCCAGGGCUCACUGAUUCUACCCAUCUAAGGAAGAAAGCAGCUGCUCAUAGCCCUCUCCUCUCCUUGCCCUCCUCAGGCUUCCAGCUACCCCCUCUUGCUGAAUACUAUUCUUUUUUUCAUCCCUGUGCCACUGUUCUAGCUUUUCUUCUAAUAUUCUGACCACCCUUUUGGUGGUUUAUUUCAUUUCAUGUUAUUUUGUCUUUUUAAGGCCACACCAGUGGCACAUGGAGGUUCCCAGACUAGGGGUCAAAUUGGUCGAAUUAGCCUCCAGCCUACGCCACAGCCAUAGCCACACCAGAUUCAAGCCGCAUCCACAACCUAUGCUGCAGCUUGUGGUAAUGCCCUGGAUCCUUUAACCCACUAAGCAAGGGCAGGAAUUGAACCUGUAUCCUCAUGGAUACUAGUCAUGUUCUUAACCCACUAAACCACAACUGGAACUCUGGUGGGUUUAUUUAUUUAUUUAUUUAUUUAUUUAUUUAUUAUUUAGUCUUUUUAGGGCCACAUCUGUGGCAUAUGGAGGUUGCCAGGGUAGGGGUCUAAUUGGAGCUGUAGCUGCCAGCCUACUCCAGAGCCAAAGCAAUGCCAGAUCUGAUCCGCAUCUGCGACCUACAGCACAGCUCGCGGCAAUGCCGGAUCCUUAACCCACUGAGCAAGGCCAGGGAUUGAACCCAAAACCUCAUGGUUCCUAGUCGGAUUCGUUUCUGCUAUGCUAUGAUGGGAACUCCCUGGUGCGUUUAUUUUUAAUUGAGCUUCUUCUACUUGCUACCUUAUAACUGGGUUGUAUCCUGUGUAGCUUCAGUCCUUGGUCUGCAUUGUCUCCUGAUGCUGAGAACUCAUGGGUUUAACUAUCGCUAUGAGGCAAUGUUCUCCAAAUCUAGAGCCUCUUCAGAGUGGCUGAUCCCAUCUCCAGCAAUGGGUGAGGUAUAUUUUUACUCACGUAUCAUUUUACCUCAAAUUUUAGAAAUCCAAAAUGAAGUGAAUUGUCUAUACAUCCUCUUCUGUCACUGUCAGGCAUGGAGGGAUAACCUGGAGUGGACUGGCCUUAUCUCCUCUUGCCUCCAGCCAUGCUGUUGUUCAGCAUGUCUCAUCAUGCCUUCACCUAGCAAGAUUUCAUUUUCUUACUCCCUGCUAUAGAUGGAAUGUUUGCAUCUCUCCAAAAUUGAUAUGUUGAAACCUAAUCCCCAAUGUGACAAUGUGAUGGUAUUUGGAAGUGAGUCCUCAAAAGGGCAAUCAGGGCCUUAGGGUGGAGCCCUUAUGAAUGCGAUUAGUGCCCUUAGAAAAGAGACCUCAGAGAGUUCCCUUGAGCUUUUCACCGUAAGAGUGCACAGUGAAAAGACAGUUGCCUGCAUAUGGAUGGUCUUGAAAAGCCCAACAUCACUAAUUAUUAGAAAAAUACAAAUGAAAACUACAAUGAGGUACCACCUCACACUGGUCAGAAUGGCUAUGAGGUACCACCUCACACUGGUCAGAAUGGCUAUCAUUAAUAAGUCUGCAAAAAACACAUGCUGGAGAAGGUGAGGAGAAAAGGGAACUGGUGGUAGGAAUGUAAAUUGGUAUAACCACUAUGGAAAACAGUAUGAAAUUUCCUCAGAAAACUGAAAAUAGAACUACCAUAUGAUCCAGCAAUCCCACUCCUGAGCAUACAUCUGGACAAAACUAUAAUUCAAAGAGAUACAUGCACCACUAUGUUCACUGAAGCAGUAUUUGCAAUAAUCAAGUCAUGGAAACAGACAUCUAUCAACAGAUGAAUGGAUUAAGAAAAUGUGCAUAUACACAGUAGAUAUUACUUAGCCAUAAAAAAGAACAAAAUAAUGCCAUUUGCAGUUAACGUAGGUGCAACUAGAGAUUAUCAUGCUAAGUGAAGUAAGUCAAACAGAAAGACAAAUACCAUAUUGAUAUCACUUAUAUGUGGACUCUAAAAUGUGGCACAAAUGAUCCUAUCUACAUCAAAAACAGACUCACAGACAUAGAGAACAAACUUGUGGUUGCCAAGGGGAGAGCGGGUAGAGGAGGGAUAGACUAGGAGUUUGGGAUGAGUAAGUAGAUGCAAACUAUUAUAUUCAGAAUGGAUAAACAAUAAGGUCCUACUGUGCAGCCCAGGGAGCUAUAUCCAAUGUCCUGGGAUAGACCAUGAUGGAAAGUAAUAUAAAAGAAAGAAUGUAUAUAACUGAGUCACUGCUAUACAGCAGAAAUUGGCACAACAUUGUAAAUCAACU